Molecule: ribosomal RNA, 268 nt
Filed under: uncultured prokaryote
Description: partial 16S ribosomal RNA
Rfam family: Bacterial small subunit ribosomal RNA
Source: RNAcentral
UACGUAGGGGGCGAGCGUUGUCCGGAAUUAUUGGGCGUAAAGGGUUCGUAGGCGGUAAUACAUGUCAGAUGUGAAAUCUUGUGGCUUAACCACAUCAAGCAUCUGAAACUGUAUAACUUGAGUGGAGGAGAGGUAAGUGGAAUUCCUAGUGUAGCGGUGAAAUGCGUAGAUAUUAGGAAGAAUACCAGUAGCGAAGGCGACUUACUGGCCUCUAACUGACGCUGAUGAACGAAAGCGUGGGUAGCAAACAGGAUUAGAUACCCCUGUA